RNAcentral lists this long non-coding RNA (1315 nucleotides) under Oryctolagus cuniculus (rabbit). RNAcentral describes it as "lncRNA (ENSOCUG00000036973.1)". Lineage: Eukaryota; Metazoa; Chordata; Mammalia; Lagomorpha; Leporidae. The record is from RNAcentral.
AUGGUCUGCCGCUGGGGAAGAAAGCGAGGCUCAGCCCGUGAAGAUGGGGGGAGCCGAUCGUUUCAUCAGCCACUUCUAACCGAGCUUCUACUGCGUGCCAGGGCUGAGCUGGCGAGGCAGCGAGACCCAGCGCUGCCUGCCAGGAGGAGACGUCAGACUGAGUCACAGAACCAAACCCAGGGCCCAGGGCAGACAGGGCUUUCCAACGAGAAGACGAAGUCAGUGUGGACGGCAGUGAUCAGCAAGGAGGCGAGGGAGAGCAUUCCAGUCCAGGACAUGGAGGCCCCAGUGAGACCACUCAACUUACCAAGGUGACAAAAGAAAGAAGCUCCUAUGGCACACAGACCAGUGCUUACCUAGCCCCUGGAGAAGACUGAACCAUCCAAGAAGCAAAAGGCAAAGGAGGCCUCGGGUGGUUCUGUGUCUUGACCAAGGAUAGCAAAGACUCCCUCAGAUCCUGCCGGAAGCAGAGGCACACAAAGGAGGGCAGGGCGGGACAGGAGUGCUCCUGGUCCCAGCACCCUCCCUCGGGUCUGCGCCAAUGUGUUCCCCAGCAACUCUACCUGUCAUCAAUACUCUGCUUCUGCUGCCACCAACACAGGAUAAUCUGAUCUGGAAGGGAGGAAAAGAGAGUGCAGUAUCUGUAGCAACAAACAUCAUCAAAUGUCCUGGCUCCCUUCCCGGGGCUUCCAUAAAAACGCAGGAAGGAAGAAGCCACGGAGUGGAGCCGCAUCAGCAAGUCUUCCUCGCGUCUCCAUUAAGUCAUUAAGGGAGGACUUUGCAGCUCUGGGGAUGACAGCCAGGGUGCUGCUUCGUGGGGUGGGGGGCGGGGAGCGGGGGGAGGCUCCUGUUGGCAGGACAGCUCAGUGACAAACAGGGACACAAAGAGGUGUGGGGGGCAUUUGUCUUCCUGGAUUGUUCUGUCUCUCCACUCCCAUAUGCAACAUUUUGCCAAAACCAGCUUUAGCCCUGAUUGUUUUAAUCAUGCUUACCGCAUUUAAGACCUUGGUUUUGAGUCAAGGUUUCACAUACGACUCCGAACUGCGUAACCAGUGUCCUGAUUUCUAUUCUUGGGAAGGUGGGAGGCAGCAGGGCAGGGGGGAUACUUCUAGGAUCUUUCACACAAGAUUUUUUUUUUUUUUACUUAUUUGAUAGGUAGAGUUAGACAGUGAGAGAGAGAGAGAGAGACAGAGAGAAAGGUCUUCCUUCCGUUGGUUCACCCCCCAAAUGGCCGCCACAGCCAGCAUGCUGCACCGAUCCAAAGCCAGGAGCCAGGUGGUCUUCCACACGGGUACAGGUGCCCAAGCACUUGGGC